Sinocyclocheilus anshuiensis is the source of this 1208-nucleotide long non-coding RNA. RefSeq lists it as uncharacterized. The record is from RefSeq and is a predicted model, not a curated record. The transcript has 3 exons. NCBI's taxonomy places the organism in Eukaryota, Metazoa, Chordata, Actinopteri, Cypriniformes, Cyprinidae.
ACACACACACACAGAGAGAGAGAGACUCAAAUGGUUAGGAAUUAAAAACAUUAAAACAUUAGUUUACAAUCUUAACCCCUUGUUCACACUUAGAAAUGAAUAUUUACAGCAGACUUGCUGGAUCUUGAUUUGCAUUAUAAUGAAACAGAAACAUUGCAGGUAUCUUGAAAAAUCAUACCAGGAAACAACAUGGAAAUAUAUGCAGUAUGUGCCUUUCAAAAAGGUACAUUCUAUUCUAUUCUAAUUUCGCCCAGGUCACCUUUACUAUAUCAUGACACUUUCUGCAGCCUGUUUCUCCUCCCUCUCUUCCUCCUCCUUCCCGCACAGACUGGGAAGUAAUCCUAUAUAUAUAUUAGUUUUUCACCCUGUACUUCUUUAAAGGCUCUUCUCAGCUCACAGAAGCCAGAAGAAGUUCCUGCUCAGUGCAAGGCUCCCAAAGAUGAGCUGGACAAAUGUGUUCAGGGGAAGGGUGCAGAGGGCUGUAAGGAGCUGCUGGAAGCUUUUGAGGCCUGUGUGAAGGGGACCACGGCAGCCUCGUGAGGGGACAUGGAUUUACAUGUCUUUCCUUUCUGGGUCCUCCAGUGCCCUUGCUUUCCCUCACAUUGCACUGGACUAAACCAUUUUAUGGACAGUGAAAGGGGUGCAAGAGCUGGAAAGCAGUGGAAUUGUUUAUUUUGAUCCUGGGAAGUUGUUGUCCUUGUUGGUGUCCCUCAUGUUUACUGUGUUAUUUGUAACAGUGGAAGAAAGAAGAACCCAGUUUUAUUAUUAUUAUUAUUUUCCAGAUUUCACACUGUAAUAAAACAGUGCAUUUCAUUUGAUUUUUAAUAAAUUACUAUCAAUAACCAUGACAAUUAAGAGGCAGCCUAUACAUAACUGUGUUCACUAAAUAACUGACACUAAAGAGCUUCAUAAUAUUUAAUUGCAUGCAAUGAUUGAUUGACCUUUAACUGCAGUGGUCUGCAUACUUGCUAACUUGUGCCAAGCACAUUGGCAGCGCUGCUCAUGUGGUUUCCUGAAAGUGGGCCUGUAAACACAGCAACUGACUGUCAGCACCAUCUAUUGAAGAAAUUCUGAUGGUGUUGACAAAACCAUUUUCAUACUUUUCAUCCCAUGUUAAUCAUGCAUGCAUGUCAUGUAGGUUUUAUAGUAUCGCUAGCAAGGGCCUAUAUAAGAUUAGAAAAGGGUUCACAUAAUUGUUGUAUUGGGGG